Molecule: long non-coding RNA, 5796 nt
Organism: Mauremys reevesii (Reeves's turtle)
Lineage: Eukaryota; Metazoa; Chordata; Testudines; Geoemydidae
Exons: 11
Source: RefSeq, a predicted model, not a curated record
AACAAAUAAACCUCCGUAAGCCCCAUGAAAACUUGAAGACAAAAGUUCCUAAAGAGCCAAUGUCUGGGCAGCAUUUUGUGGAAAAGCCACAGAGAUUAAAUGAUUUCAGCUCACUGAAAGAGAGUCUGUUUCCAGAGCUCUUCUCCUUGGCUAGAUUUUCAAACACACCAUGGCCUGAUCCCGUAGUCAAUGGAAGCUGAGAGUGAUCAGCACUUCCCAUGACCACGCUACAGAUCUUGUGGUGAUAUUAUUGGAAUCUUGAAAUUGGGACUAAUCCCUGACUUCCUAAUUUGUCGUCGUUUUAUUUUUUCAACAAAGGCAUACAAAGACUGCAUGAAUUCUUCUGGCAACAGUGUUGAACUAGGUGCUUGUGUUCAGUUGAUUAUCUACCAUGAAUCACAAGUCUUUUUCAGAGUUGCUGGUUCCCAGAAUAGAAUCCCCCCAUCCUAACUGAACUCUACAAUCUCUACUUCAACAGCAUAAACUGAUCAGUCACACACAAAGAUGCGUGUAAACUGGAGUAACUCCACUGAAGUAAAGUAACAAGAAGGUAAAAUCAGGGUGAAAGAGGAAGCAAGAGAAGUGGAAAGAGAGGUCAUUUUUCUCCAAACUAAAAAGUGAAUUCUCUCCGUUUAAAGCUCAAGGCACCAUGACUCUGAAGGAAGUUUCACCAGUUAGAAUGGAAGAGGGACCUGCUUUGCUGACAGGUGGCGGUGGGUUGCCAAAAUUCUUCAUCUAGAGUGGUGGUAAACCUAAAGUUGAAUAGAACAGUUUUCUACCUCAGUAAAUGAAGUUUCUGGAAAAAAGAUUAUGACCACAUAUAAAGAAAUGAAGCAGCAUUUGUGUAUCUCAUGCUGCCACACCAGUACAUAACAGUAUCCUAGCCAAAAUUAUCUACUUUUGAAAGAAACAUCUCAACUCCUGCAGUUUCUUAAACUCUCCACUGUAUGUUUUGAUGAUUUAGUUUUCACUUAUGGAUAUUCUAGACCACCAUCUAUUCCAAAGAUUGACACUCAGAGACAGAUGGACAGUAUGAUAUGGAAAGACAUGUAGGAAGCAGAAUUUCACCACUGUAAAGGUCACAUCAGAAACUAUAUUUCUCCUAAACAAGUGCCAGAUGACAAUGGUGAAUGGAACAAGAAGUUCCUCCUGUGGAGCAAGGGGGAACGAGAUUUUAACUUUCAAAGAUGCAACUGCCCUGAGUCACCCAGCUUCACAAGGAGGUGGAACACUGUGGAUGGACCUACUUCCUUUCAUCAGUCUCACUCCUUGACACUGAACAGCAAAUGGUGAGGUAAAGAAAGUUCGAACUGGAUUCAUUACUGGAAAGCAAUGCUCAGGUAAGCUAAGAUACCCUUUGAAUUGUAUGGACUCAGCAAAGUCAGAACAGGAAAUGGGGUUAUCUUCACCAUAUAUGGACAGUAUUGACUUGGUCCUUUGCCCCCCUAGUCUCACUCUUAGCUGUGCCAGUGGCAGUUAUAUUCUUUUAUAUUCAAAUCAUUUUUGAAAAAUUUCUGGGGCUUUCCUGGUAAAGGGUUUAUUUAAGAUACCCAAAUUAUAGUAAAAAGCCUAGAGAAUGCCUCAUUCUUAGAUUAGAUUGCCAUGCAGAACUGUAAACAAGCAACACUACUGGGAAAUUUGAUAGGUUUCAAAUGGAACUCUUCAGCUUGCAAAAUCUGCAGUGAGACCUGUCAGCUGCAGAGGAUCAGAGUUACAGAAUAAUCUGCCUGAAGACCUCUCUCUUUAAAGGCUAUUCAAACUAAAGCCAAGGUAACUGAAUGCAGCACUUAAUCAGUAACCAUUAAACAUAUAAUCAAACAUAGUCUUACAGAAUAGAGUAUUUCCAGUCUUAUAAAACAAAUUGCCUUAAAUCUGAGGGAGCAAGAAAAGCAGAGUUUAGAAAUCACUCUGCUGAAAAGAGAGCCUGUGAAUUAAUCAUGUAAGCAUACAAAAACACUAAUAGUUUUGAACACUGAAGGUGAAAGAACAUUUGUUCACCAGAGGUCACUCUUCCAACUCAGGGGGGAAUUUUAAAGAACACAUGUUGGAAAAUUUGCCUCAGUAUUUUUGUUAUUUCACCCUUGGGCACCAUUUGCCUAUGAAAAUAGAUUGCAAUGUAAAGCAAUUAGCCUGGUAGCCAAUGUGCAUCAUGGUGCUGAAACCCUUCAGGGAAGAGUCAGUGUUGCUUAAAGUAACAAUAGCUCACUGCUGGACCUAAUUCUCAUGAACAAGUAUUUACUUUUUUUUUAAAAGUCUGCUCCAAGCUAGGAUUAGAAUGCGCCAACUCCUGAUACAAAAACUAUGCUCUAGUGCCAGCACUACAAAGGUAGCUGUAACCAGACCCUCCCAAGAAAUCUAAUAGGGAAGGACAGGAGACACUAAGGGGGAUGUUUAAUGGGUGGCAACAUGUGAGGGUAUGUUUGUGGAGACAGGAGACAACACAUCUGUGCAUGUGAGGUUCUCUGAAACCAAUCCUGACCUGGUGGGGAUACCUGUAAAGAUGAAGGGGGUGGGGGAGAGAGAGCAAAUGAUAUCAGGGAGGUUACAACACAGCAACAGUAACUGGGGAACCAGCUGCAAAGUUCAGUCAUGAGCCCUUUUCCGACCCCGUUUAUGCUCUGCAUUUCCUGAAUUGUCAGGGAAAGGUGAUGGAAAGUAGCAUUUUCUUAUUUAAACUUUAAACCUGGAAUUUGGUGCCUCUCUUUCAGUAUUUUGCCAGGUUAGGCACACAGCUAUCUACGUACACUGAUGCUUAACUAUUAAACCACAUUAUUCUGUUGUCAAGAGAUACCAUCUUUUGUCUGUAAGAGAGUUCAACAGUUGUGUGGUACCAUUUUUAACUAAAAAUAAUAAUAACUUCCUCUUAUUUCACACUAAGUAAUUAAUUUAUAACUAAAGGUUUUCAUUUAAAUUACAGUAAGGUAUAGUGUAUGAAAAGUAUAUGUGAACAGCAUUAAGGUUUUGAGUGUAAAUGCACAAUAAAACCCACAUUAAAGUUAUACUCCUUAAAGUUGCCUGCAUCUCUAUCUCUCUCUCGUUCUCUCUCUCUCUCACGCACACACACAAGAUAGAUAAUCGUGAGGGACCCAUUUUCUGGCCCAAUGAAACUCCUUUGUGCCACUCACUGGAGUGACACAAAGCAGCCUUAAAGGUGUCCUAAGUGGCCAGCUGGGGAUUCUCCUUAUGUAGGUGAAUCCCAGCACAGCACAGAGUUGGCAUAGCUAGCCCUCUGCCAGCCCUCUGGUCAGCCUUCAGCAUAGCAUACUGGGGGUGCACUGAAGAGGGUGCAUAGCUGAAGCAUACUGCAUUCUGGCAACUCCUAACUUCUGGAACAGCCCGUUAGCAGCUGUUGCAGGUGACUGAAAGUUAGAGCAACAUUAGGGCUUCUCUAAUGCACAUGGGGCCAAACUGGCCCCUAGCAACUCAAUGAUAUAGUGCAGUGCAUAAAAAGGACUAACACAGAAAUGGAAUCCAAUCAAUAUAAUUCUAGAGCUAUUAUUAUUUACUAACCACAGUACAGUCAGGGCGCCCAGUGCUGCUCAGCCGCUGAACUAUGCAAAACAAACAACAAGGCUUUAUUUUAAAGGAGACAAUUGUCUACAGUGGGGAGCAUGUUAUGGCUAGAAUGCUUCAUAAAAUUAAAAGAUUGUUAAAGGGUAACCAUGAGCAUUUUCUCCUUCUGAUCUUUCCUAAAUCAAUUUACAAAGAAGUCUUACAUUAUACCACCAGCUUCAUUUAACCUCAUUAGUAGAGCUGCCGCCGAUCGCGGUUUUUGGGGGGUUUUUUGGUCGGGGUUUUUUUUUUUUUUUUUGCUGCUUGGGGUGGCAAAAACACUGAAGCCGGCCCUGAUGAGAAGACUUUUUUUUUUUUUUUUGGAAAAUAUACAAAGUGUAAUCAGUAUUGCAAAAGACAAUGGGGAGAGCAGAAGUAGAAUAGCUGGAAAUUAUGUUCACAAUGCUUUAGAGAGAGAGAGAGAGAGAAGAAACAAAGAAGGGAAAUAAUGCUAGUCUGAAAAUGGAAAGUGCGGAGACAAUUGGAGGACUAAGUCCCAUUAGCCUCCUGUCUCUAGCCUACAAAUUGCUAACCUUGGUAGUGAGCAAGUGACUUACUGCAAAUUGGAUUCCAACCAAGUAAAGGAAUGAGCAGGCUUUCAAUCAAUCCUGCACACUAAUAAUGCUGAAUGAAAUACUGACAAAGAUGGACAAAUAUAAUCUAUCACCAUGCAUGGCAUUUUUCCAUUUUUUUUCUUCAUUUUAACGUGAAUUUAGUGCUCACAAAAGGUGCCAGAUUGAUAGCCCAAAAGACUGAAGUCUUUUGUUUUUCCAUAGAAUAGGCAUAGGCAAAGCUUCCGCAUGCAACCCAGCCAAUAAGUUACAUCCCACCUCUGGCUGGAGCACCUUUGGAGGGGGUAGAAAGAGAAUUCAGUGAAGGUUUCUCUGCUGGGACUGCCAUAAAGUUAAUUCAUGCCAACUGUAGCAGUGGUGUUUUUCUGUAACAUGGCUUUGGAGCCUAAGAACCAGACUGAAACCACUAAUACAAUGGUCACCAAGCAGUGAGUAUAUGGUAAGGACUUCCAAACACUCCCAACUUUUGUGAGCAUUGAACCAAAGGCCUGGCGGUGCAAAGCUCUGUCCCCCUUCCCCCCUCUUACCACCUUAUCAUUUGAUUACCUGAGCCAUCCUGCCCUCUCUGUGUAGAUCACUUAUUGACAACAGGAAAAGCUUGUGACCUAUUAAUGGAACAGAAACCCCUUCCAUUGACAGGUCUUCAGAACUGAAGUAUGGAUAUGGCCAAUGCAUUUAGUUUCUACCAAAACAUAACUUGGUCUUCACUGUAUAUGCAGUAAGAAGAUCAGAAACAAGAGAGAGAGAAACAAGAUACAUUACCCAGGCCUCUGCUUGCAAAGAGAGAAUGGAGAGGAGAAAGCAUUGAACACCAGCUGGAAGGAAGUAGUUGAACCAACUCACAUUUGCAAGAUGGUCUUGUCUUCAUAGCUAACAUGCCAUGACCUAUAAGAGUUAAUACAGAAGCUCAAUUCAGCCAUGAAAAGGAAAAGAUCACCAUAGAUAAUAAUGUCAUUGAUCAAGAAAAGUAUGUCUCAGACAGCUCUUCAGAUCUGAAAGAAACCAGAUGGAAGAAAUGAAGAGAAGAGCUAAGCCAGGCCAAAGAUUCAUCAAGAAGAUGAAAAACAUUGUGAGGGGUAAUGUUCCAAAAGGAGGUGCAUAAUCAGCCAUGCUUCUGCUGAUAGCAUCCGGCUCAGAGGCAUAUCUUGCCACCAAAACAAAUGAAACAGGAAAACCGUUGCCUGCCAAAGCUAUGCUACUUUGGGUGACACCCACUGCUAAUACUUCAGGUACUACAAUGGAAUAGUCAGACAGGAAGGAUGGCCCAUCAGCGAGGACAAUGGACUGUGAAAAGCUUGGCCUUCCUGCAGACCCUCCAUACUGCCACUGACUCAUGGACUCUGUGAUCUUACAGAGUCAAGUGGUCUUGUCACCUGAUACUAAAUGUUACCUGGGACUUCUUGUAACUUUCCACAGGAAGGGAAGAGGGGUCAAGCUUGGAAAACAAAGGAUUCCCACCUUAUGUAAAUCCUAUUUAAGGGUAAAGCGGAAGGCAAACUGGAUUCCUCCUCUCCAUGGCCUAUCUGGCCAAGAAGAAAGACUGCUAGAGCCACCUGAAGGGAAGGCAAGGGGAGAGUCCAGACUAAGACAGGGCUCCAGUCUGAAAAGGAAUAUAACUGGAACUGUGAACCACAGAAACUUUGCAAUGUGCCUAAAAUAACAUUUAGGGUGA